UGUUAUGGAUAAGGUUCCAGAUGGAUGUUGCCAGUUGGGGGUGUUGUCCCUGCACAUUCAGACACUGGCAGCACUGAUUUGAUUAUGUCAUACUGUGCAGGGACAUUUCCACCCCAACUAGUAACACCCAUCUGGACCUUCAUUACAG
Bufo bufo (common toad) is the source of this 148-nucleotide long non-coding RNA. RefSeq lists it as uncharacterized. The record is from RefSeq and is a predicted model, not a curated record. The transcript is spliced from 3 exons. NCBI's taxonomy places the organism in Eukaryota, Metazoa, Chordata, Amphibia, Anura, Bufonidae.